Oryzias latipes (Japanese medaka) is the source of this 663-nucleotide non-coding RNA. The record is from RefSeq and is a predicted model, not a curated record. NCBI's taxonomy places the organism in Eukaryota, Metazoa, Chordata, Actinopteri, Beloniformes, Adrianichthyidae.
AUAUUCGAUGCUUGAAUCAGAUUCAGAUUUUUUCAGACUUAUGUCUUGAAGAUACCACUGGCACAAAAAACUCUUCUCAUUUUCAAUUCUGAACUCCUGAUGAAAGGAUUUCAUUAUUCUCCAAAUAUGGAUAUUCUGAAAAUGGCCUUUCCCAUCACUGAUUUACAGUGAACAUGUCAUGGUGCCUCUGUCAGGUUCCUUCCCCCUCCCCUCUCUGCUUGGCCUCUGAUUCAUCCCAGCUGCGUCCACUCAUCUCAUCACCUCACCGACCUACUUAAGGAGCCUCAAGACCAGGAUUCAUCGCCAGAUCGUUACCCCUGAUGGACCUUCAUGCCCACGAGUGGACACCUCGAAUCAAGAGACAACCGAGCAGAACAUCACCAGAAGCCACCUACCUAGUCACGGAGUCUCAGUCACGUCCAGAGCCAUAGCCGUACCUCCAGCCAAGCCAAAGAGCCACAGCCGAGCCGAAGCCACGCCAAGAGCCACAGCCGAGCCGAAGCCACGCCAAGAGCCACAGCCGAGCCGAAACCACGUCGGGAGCCGCAGCCGCACUUCCACGUCUCGCUUCGGAACUUCGACGUCCCUCCAGCUUCGCCGCCCUCCUGCCACAGCAUACUAUGUCACCUUUCUGGAACUAUUAAACUUACUUACUUACUUCCA